Molecule: RNA transcript, 2889 nt
Organism: Cucumis sativus (cucumber)
Lineage: Eukaryota; Viridiplantae; Streptophyta; Magnoliopsida; Cucurbitales; Cucurbitaceae
Gene name: intermediate cleaving peptidase 55, mitochondrial
Exons: 14
Source: RefSeq, a predicted model, not a curated record
UUAAGCGUUGCUUCAUGGUGAAGUUUUUUUUUCUCUUGUUAACUAACAAUACAACAUUGAGAAUGGACAAUUUAAACCUCUAAUUUGUUGAUCUGGGACAUCUUAGGUCGAUGGCAUUCGUCGUCAGUCGGGUUGGCCUCAAGAGUGUGAUCUACACUUAUUUUUUGAGCUUAUUUCUGUACGAAUGACCAAAUAUUUGAAUUGUUAAUGCAGAAUGUCUCAGUUUUAGAAGGUUAAUUUUCAUAUUAUAGGAUUGAAUAUUCCGCAGUCAUUUUAGAAUCGGAUCAUUUUUACAAAAAUCUCUUUUUAUUACGGGGUGGAAGCCGGAGCGGAAACGUUUACACAAAAGGCGCUGUGUUCUCAGUGUUCGUGUGUUGUAAGCGAUCAGUUAGAAGUGAGUUUGACCUAUAAAUUAGCUCCCGAAGAUCAAUAACUAAAAAGGGUAGCUUCAGUUUCCAUUUUCCAAAUUGCAGGGAGCAGAAAGAUGCAAUCUUGUUCAUAAUCUGAAGCUAAGUUGUUAGAAUAAGCAGCCAACAAUGCGGACUCUAGUUCAGAAACUACUGCCCAGAACAACGUUCAAGCAGGUUGUUGCUUUCCGGGGAUAUUGUACUGAUAAGAUACUUGACAUUGGACAGCCUACAGCUGCUUCUCAUCCAGAGUUGAUGAAAGAAGGGGAAAUUACCCCAGGAAUAACUGCUGAUGAAUACAUUACGAGAAGAAAAAGGUUGCUGGAGCUUCUACCAGAGAAUAGUUUGGCCGUUAUUGCAGCUGCGCCAGUGAAAAUGAUGACCGAUGUGGUGCCUUACACAUUUCGACAAGAUGCUGAUUACUUAUAUGUCACUGGAUGUCUACAACCCGGUGGUUUGGCAGUUCUGAGUCAUGACUUUGGAUUGUGCAUGUUCAUGCCUGAAACAAAGCCUUAUGAUGUUCUUUGGAACGGGAAAAUUGCUGGAGUCGAUGAAGCAUUGGAAUUUUUCAAGGCUGAUGAAGCAUAUCCAUUGAGAAAGUUGCGUGAGAUACUUCCGGAUAUUAUUAGGAGGUCCUCAAAGUUGUUUCAUAAUUCAAGUACUGCCAGUCCAGCUUAUGUGGAUUUAGAGGCCUUCCGAAAAGCGGCAGAGAAUGGCCAAGUGAAAGAUAUUUCACUUUUUACUCAUGAAUUGCGGUUAAUAAAAUCAACAGCAGAGAUGAAGUUAAUGAAGGAAUCUGCUUCAAUUGCUUGUCAGGCUCUUUUGCAGACAAUGAUGCAUUCAAAGACAUAUCCUCAUGAGAGUCUGUUAUCCGCAAAGGUAGAAUAUGAGUGCAGAAUGAGAGGUGCCCAACGGAUGGCAUAUAAUCCUGUGGUGGGUGGUGGCUGUAAUGGUAGUGUUAUACAUUAUUCUCGAAAUGAUCGGAAAGUCAAAGAAGGGGAUCUUGUUCUAAUGGAUAUUGGGUGCGAAUUGCAUGGUUAUGUUAGCGAUCUUACUCGUACCUGGCCCCCUUGUGGAAAGUUUUCUGCUGCUCAGGAAGAGCUUUAUGAGCUUAUACUAUUAACAAACAAGGAAUGCAUAAAGCUUUGCAAACCUGGUGCUAGUAUACAGCACAUUCACGAAUGUGCGACGAAAAUGCUUCGAGAAGGCUUCAAAGAGCUUGGCAUUUUGAAAAACUUGAAAAGUGAUGUUUUCCACCAUCUAAAUCCCACUUCUAUAGGCCAUUACCUUGGAAUGGAUGUCCAUGAUUGCCCUAGGGUUGGUUAUGAUCGGCCGUUGAAGCCAGGUAAUAACAAUUGAACCGGGAGUUUACAUCCCAUCCAUUUUUCAAGGUCCACAGAGAUUUGCUGGUAUUGGGAUAAGGAUUGAAGAUGAAGUCCUUAUAACCGAAUCGGGUUACGAGGUCCUUACAGGCUCAAUCCCAAAAGAAAUAAAUCAGAUAGAGUCAUUGCUGAACAACUUCUGCUUUGGAUCUACAAUGCAUGGCCCAAAAUUUAUGAAAGCUUCAACCUGUUGAUCAUAUGUGGACUCUUUUUAGGCGUGACAUAUUUGAGAAUGGGAGACAAUGAUUUUAUCCAAAGUAUACUUGAGUCAGGAUUGUUCGGGAUGAUAGUUUGGUAUUUUUGAUGUGCAAAUGAGGCAUGCAAGCGCGAUGGUGAGACAAUGGGGAUGUGGAUUUUCUGUCACUAGUCUUAGCUUGAGUAUCGACGUUGAGAUGCGACCAUUGUUAUGAGUUGCACCGGUGGAGGAUUUCAGCUAGUGACAUCAAAAUUGACUAUAUCAUCUGUACUUUCUGUUUCAAAAGAAUUGCAAGGAGAGAACACAUUUUGGUUUCUUAGUAUUAGUUGUGGAGUCCUUGUCCAUUGGCAACUUGUGGUAAUCAUUGCACCGAAACGUCAUCGAAUUUAGUAGUAACUAAGCUCACUUGAUAAAGUGGCCAAAAAGAGGCACCACCACCAUCACCAUCAUCAUCCCCAUGAGGCUGCUAUUUUCACAUCACUUUCAUCUUGCUGUCAUUUCGUAUUCACCAUGGCAUAUGGGUCCGACUCGAUUCAAGCAUCGUUUGGAUCCCUUCAUCACAAUUUCCAUGAGGAAUAUAUUUUCAAUCACUAAUAUAAGUAGCCUUUUUGUACCAUCUAUAUACUUCAAUUCCAUUCAUGAUCAUGGACAGGUAGUUAGGAGGGUAGCAGUUGGUUGGUUUUUAGAUACAAUUCAUUUCAAUUUAAUUUUCCUUAGAUCCAAUGGCCUCAAUUUAAUUUUUGUAAGAAAUAAGCAGUAAUAUUUUGAAAUAAUGUUUGGUAGUUAUGGUGCAGCUUCCUGCUAUUGCUGCUUCCAUUUAUUGUGUUUUUGGUUAUGACUUCAAGGAUGCCAUCUCCUGAAUUUGUUGCCUAAAGAAAGUAUGGCACUCUCUUACUAUUGUUAA